GACGAACGCUGGCGGCGUGCUUAACACAUGCAAGUCGAACGGAAAGGCCCCGCUUUUGUGGGGUACUCGAGCGGCGAACGGGUGAGUAACACGUGAGUAACCUGCCCUGGACUUUGGGAUAAGUUCAGGAAACUGGGGCUAAUACCGGAUAGGAACCACUGCUGGGUGGUGGGGGUUGAAACGUUUGGGCGGUUGGGGAUGGACUCGCGGCUUAUCAGCUUGUUGGUGGGGUAGUGGCUUACCAAGGCUUUGACGGGUAGCCGGCCUGAGAGGGUGACCGGCCACAUUGGGACUGAGAUACGGCCCAGACUCCUACGGGAGGCAGCAGUGGGGAAUAUUGCACAAUGGGCGGAAGCCUGAUGCAGCAACGCCGCGUGCGGGAUGACGGCCUUCGGGUUGUAAACCGCUUUCGCCUGUGACGAAGCGUGAGUGACGGUACUUGGUUAAGAAGCACCGGCUAACUACGUG
Molecule: ribosomal RNA, 468 nt
Filed under: uncultured bacterium
Lineage: Bacteria
Description: partial 16S ribosomal RNA
Rfam family: Bacterial small subunit ribosomal RNA
Source: RNAcentral